GUCUCUGUGGCGCAAUGGAGUUAGCGCGCUGGACUUCUAAUCCAGAGGUUCCGAGUUCGAGUCCCGGCAGGGAUG
Non-coding RNA from Ciona savignyi (Pacific transparent sea squirt), 75 nucleotides. The record is from Rfam. Lineage: Eukaryota; Metazoa; Chordata; Ascidiacea; Phlebobranchia; Cionidae.